This 516-nucleotide ribosomal RNA is filed under the name uncultured bacterium. RNAcentral describes it as "partial 16S ribosomal RNA". The record is from RNAcentral.
GGAGUUAGCCGGUGCUUCUUCUGUGAGUGAUGUCCUUCCUGCCGGCUAUUAACCCGCAGGCCUUCUUCCUCACUGAAAGUGCUUUACAACCCGAAGGCCUUCUUCACACACGCGGCAUGGCUGGAUCAGGGUUGCCCCCAUUGUCCAAUAUUCCCCACUGCUGCCUCCCGUAGGAGUCUGGGCCGUGUCUCAGUCCCAGUGUGGCUGAUCAUCCUCUCAGACCAGCUACGGAUCGUCGCCUUGGUGAGCCGUUACCUCACCAACCAGCUAAUCCGACAUAGGCUCAUCCGAUAGCGCGAGGCCCGAAGGUCCCCCGCUUUCCCCCGUAGGGCGUAUGCGGUAUUAGCCUGGGUUUCCCCCAGGGUUUAUCCCCCCACUUACCCGGGGCCAGGAUUCCCUAUGCAUUACUCACCCGUCCGCCGCUCGCCACCAGGGAGCAAGCUCCCCGUGCUGCCGCUCGACUUGCAUGUGUAGCUCGCCGCAGCGUCAUCUGAGCCAGAACUACGAACCCUACGA